Molecule: long non-coding RNA, 115 nt
Organism: Nanorana parkeri
Lineage: Eukaryota; Metazoa; Chordata; Amphibia; Anura; Dicroglossidae
Exons: 3
Source: RefSeq, a predicted model, not a curated record
AGUCCCAUGAGGAACUGCAAGACUUACAGCUACAGGCAUGGCUCCAGAAACAGAUGCAUGCUGGGAUUUGCAGUUUCACCACAGCUGGAAGGCUGAAAUGGCUCCCAACCUAAGA